This 253-nucleotide ribosomal RNA is filed under the name uncultured bacterium. RNAcentral describes it as "partial 16S ribosomal RNA". It matches the Rfam family "Bacterial small subunit ribosomal RNA", at positions 524 to 776 of the family's 1533-position model. The record is from RNAcentral.
UACGUAGGCAGCAAGCGUUGUUCGGAAUUACUGGGCGUAAAGAGUGUGUAGGCGGUGCUCUAAGUUCGGUGUGAAAUCUCUCGGCUCAACUGGGAGGGUGCGCCGAAAACUGGGGUGCUGGAGCGCGGGAGAGGAAAGCGGAAUUCCUGGUGUAGCGGUGAAAUGCGUAGAUAUCAGGAGGAACACCGGCGGUGUAGACGGCUUUCUGGACCGUAGCUGACGCUGAGACACGAAAGCGUGGGUAGCAAACAGG